Molecule: ribosomal RNA, 254 nt
Filed under: uncultured prokaryote
Description: partial 16S ribosomal RNA
Rfam family: Bacterial small subunit ribosomal RNA
Source: RNAcentral
ACGUAGGGUCCAAGCGUUGUCCGGAUUUACUGGGCGUAAAGAGCGCGUAGGCGGUCUGUUAAGUGUGAAGUGAAAUCUCCAGGGCUCAACCCGGAAACUGCUUCGCAUACUGGCGGACUUGAGGAAUGCAGAGGUUUGUGGAAUUCCUGGUGUAGCGGUGAAAUGCGUUGAUAUCAGGAGGAACACCCAUGGCGAAGGCAGCAAACUGGGCAUUAUCUGACGCUGAGGCGCGAAAGCUAGGGGAGCAAACGGGA